RNAcentral lists this ribosomal RNA (305 nucleotides) under uncultured bacterium. RNAcentral describes it as "bacterial SSU rRNA". It matches the Rfam family "Bacterial small subunit ribosomal RNA", at positions 338 to 635 of the family's 1533-position model. The record is from RNAcentral.
CCUACGGGGGGCAGCAGUGGGGAAUAUUGCGCAAUGGGCGAAAGCCUGACGCAGCGACGCCGCGUGAGGGAUGAAGGUCUUCGGAUCGUAAACCUCUGUCAGCAGGGAAGAACGGUCACUGUGCUAAUCAGCAGUGAAUUGACGGUACCUGACUAAGAAGCCCCGGCUAACUACGUGCCAGCAGCCGCGGUAAUACGUAGGGGGCAAGCGUUAUCCGGAUUUACUGGGUGUAAAGGGAGCGUAGACGGCAGUGCAAGUCUGAAGUGAAAGGCAAGGGCUCAACCCUUGGACUGCAUUGGCAACUG